GAUCAUUCCUCGGGGUGCUCUGCCGCCAUGAGUGCACGCAUGGCGGUAAGGGCUGAGAUAAUACCCGUUGAACCUGAACAGGGUAAUUCCUGCGAAGGGAAGGUGUACAUUUUUUCU
RNAcentral lists this non-coding RNA (117 nucleotides) under Sediminibacterium ginsengisoli. RNAcentral's name for it is "TPP sequence". It matches the Rfam family "TPP riboswitch aptamer (THI element)". From Rfam's summary of the family: Vitamin B(1) in its active form thiamin pyrophosphate (TPP) is an essential coenzyme that is synthesised by coupling of pyrimidine and thiazole moieties in bacteria. The previously detected thiamin-regulatory element, thi box was extended, resulting in a new, highly conserved RNA secondary structure, the THI element, which is widely distributed in eubacteria and also occurs in some archaea. Analysis of operon structures identified a large number of new candidate thiamin-regulated genes, mostly transporters, in various prokaryotic organisms. The record is from Rfam by way of RNAcentral. Lineage: Bacteria; Pseudomonadati; Bacteroidota; Chitinophagia; Chitinophagales; Chitinophagaceae.